RNAcentral lists this ribosomal RNA (253 nucleotides) under uncultured bacterium. RNAcentral's name for it is "partial 16S ribosomal RNA". It matches the Rfam family "Bacterial small subunit ribosomal RNA", at positions 524 to 776 of the family's 1533-position model. The record is from RNAcentral.
UACGUAGGGUGCGAGCGUUAAUCGGAAUUACUGGGCGUAAAGCGUGCGCCGGCGGUUUUGUAAGCCGGAUGUGAAAUCCCCGGGCUUAACCUGGGAAUGGCAUUCGGGACUGCAAGGCUGGAGUGCGGCAGAGGAGACUGGAAUUCCUGGUGUAGCAGUGAAAUGCGUAGAUAUCAGGAGGAACACCGAUGGCGAAGGCAGGUCUCUGGGCUGACACUGACGCUCAUGCACGAAAGCGUGGGGAGCAAACAGG